This 290-nucleotide long non-coding RNA is filed under the name Lathyrus oleraceus (garden pea). RNAcentral describes it as "Pisum sativum (pea) long non-coding RNA (PSAT_LNC023535)". Lineage: Eukaryota; Viridiplantae; Streptophyta; Magnoliopsida; Fabales; Fabaceae. The record is from RNAcentral.
CUAAUACAUUUCCACGUGUCAGAUUCCAAUUGGAUUGGUUUUAAAUUUUGAGUUUCCCUUUCACAAAAUGGGCACCCUCUCCUUUAUUUUUUUGCAGCAACAUCAUUUCUAGUCUGUGCUUUUUAUUUCCUAAUUGUUUUUGUUUUAUUUUUUUAUUUUUUAUUUUUUUGCAAAUUAGAUUUAAUAUAAUUGUAAUGGGCUUUAAGCCCUAUGAAUCCUAAUAUCUUCUUAUUGUUCAACCCCCAUAUCUAUGUCUACCAUUCCCUAUUCUUAUUUUCCAUUUAACCAUU